UGGGGAAUAUUGCACAAUGGAGGGAACUCUGAUGCAGCGACGCCGCGUGAACGAAGAAGGCUUUCGAGUCGUAAAGUUCUUUUAUAUGGGAAGAUAAUGACGGUACCAUAAGAAAAAGCCCCGGCUAACUACGUGCCAGCAGCCGCGGUAAUACGUAGGGGGCUAGCGUUGUCCGGAAUCACUGGGCGUAAAGGGUUCGCAGGCGGAAAUGCAAGUCAGGUGUAAAAGGCAGUAGCUUAACUACUGUAAGCAUUUGAAACUGCAUAUCUUGAGAAGAGUAGAGGUAAGUGGAACGUGUGGUGUAGCGGUGAAAUGCGUAGAGAUUAGGAGGAACACCGGUGGCGAAAGCGGCUUUUUGGCCUGCAACUGACACUGAGGCGCGAAAGCGUGGGGAGCAAACAGG
This 403-nucleotide ribosomal RNA is filed under the name Verrucomicrobiota bacterium. RNAcentral describes it as "Verrucomicrobia bacterium partial 16S ribosomal RNA". It matches the Rfam family "Bacterial small subunit ribosomal RNA", at positions 355 to 776 of the family's 1533-position model. Lineage: Bacteria; Pseudomonadati; Verrucomicrobiota. The record is from RNAcentral.